AUACGUAGGUGGCAAGCGUUGUCCGGAAUUACUGGGUGUAAAGGGAGUGUAGGCGGUUAUGUAAGUUAAAUGUGAAAUCUAUCGGCUCAACUGGUAGGCUGCGUUUAAAACUACAUAACUUGAGUAAAGUAGAGGCAGGCGGAAUUCCUAGUGUAGCGGUGAAAUGCGUAGAUAUUCGGAGGAACACCAGUGGCGAAGGCGGCCUGCUGGGCUUUUACUGACGCUGAGGCUCGAAAGCGUGGGGAGCAAACAGGAUUAGAAACCCCAGUAGUCC
This 274-nucleotide ribosomal RNA is filed under the name uncultured bacterium. Its description in RNAcentral is "partial 16S ribosomal RNA". It matches the Rfam family "Bacterial small subunit ribosomal RNA", at positions 523 to 796 of the family's 1533-position model. The record is from RNAcentral.